Molecule: transfer RNA, 74 nt
Filed under: Candidatus Portnoyibacteriota bacterium
Lineage: Bacteria; Candidatus Portnoyibacteriota
Description: Candidatus Portnoybacteria bacterium tRNA-Gln
Rfam family: tRNA
About the family: Transfer RNA (tRNA) molecules are approximately 80 nucleotides in length. Their secondary structure includes four short double-helical elements and three loops (D, anti-codon, and T loops).
Source: RNAcentral
UGCCGGGUCGUCUAACGGUAGGACUACAGACUUUGACUCUGUGUAUCCAGGUUCGAAUCCUGGCCCGGCAGCCA